This 484-nucleotide ribosomal RNA is filed under the name uncultured bacterium. Its description in RNAcentral is "partial 16S ribosomal RNA". It matches the Rfam family "Bacterial small subunit ribosomal RNA", at positions 30 to 507 of the family's 1533-position model. The record is from RNAcentral.
AUUGAACGCUGGCGGCAGGCCUAACACAUGCAAGUCGAGCGGAAGAAGCGAGCUUGCUCCUGGAUCCAGCGGCGGACGGGUGAGUAAUGCCUAGGAAUCUGCCUGGCAGUGGGGGAUAACGUCCGGAAACGGCCGCUACUACCGCAUACGUCCUGAGGGAGCAAGAGGGGGAUCUUCGGACCUCACGCUAUCAGAUGAGCCUAGGUCGGAUUAGUUAGUUGGUUGGGUAAAGGCCUACCAACGAGACGAGCCGUAACUGGUCUGAGAGGAUGAUCGGUCACACUGGAACGUAGACACGGUCCAGACUCCUACGGGAGGCAGCAGUGGGGAAUAUUGGACAAUGGGCGAAAGCCUGAUCCAGCCAUGCCGCGUGUGUGAAGAAGGUCUUCCGAUUGUAAAGCACUUUUAGUUGGGAGGAAGGGCAGUAAGUUAAUACCUUGCUGUUUUGACGUUACCAACAGAAUAAGCACCGGCUAACUACGUG